This 73-nucleotide transfer RNA is filed under the name Camelus bactrianus (Bactrian camel). It matches the Rfam family "tRNA". Rfam says of the family: Transfer RNA (tRNA) molecules are approximately 80 nucleotides in length. Their secondary structure includes four short double-helical elements and three loops (D, anti-codon, and T loops). The record is from Rfam by way of RNAcentral. RNAcentral also lists the same sequence under 2 other names. Lineage: Eukaryota; Metazoa; Chordata; Mammalia; Artiodactyla; Camelidae.
GAGGGUAUAGCUCAAGUGGUAGAGUGUGUGCUUAGCAUGCAUGAGGUCCUGGGUUCAAUCCCCAGUACCUCCU